UGGCAAGGAGGGGAGAAGAUGAGGAGCUAUUCAGAAGGCAGACGCAACUGAAUUUGACAAAAAACUCACUAUGGUCGGUGAGAAGAAGGAGCCGAGAGUAAGUGCUCUCCUUGGGACAAAGGACACAGGAAGAGGAGCAGGUUGGGGAAAGCUAAAUCAAAGCUAAUAAUUCUGGAAUCAUAAUUGGGAGCUGAGUGCCAGCUUGAAGCUUGGGGAGCUCCCUCACCUUCUUGGCCAGCCCUGCUUCCAAGACUGAUGCUUCCUGGCCGUGAAUGAACCCAGCCCAGGCAUCUCCACCUUGCCCUUCGGCUCCUUGCUUCAGAGGACAUUUCCUGAGCAUCUUCUCUCUGUGAGCCAAGAUCUCCAGCAUUUAGGUUCUAAAUUUGCAGUGGUUGGCAUUAAACUAUGAUGUCAGUACCUCCAAAGCCUGAGCACAUAAUAGGUGCUCCAUAAACCUUUUUUUUUUUUUUUUGAUGUUGCUAAACAAAUAGUGGAGCAGAUCAUUGGUUGGUUGUCUAUCUAAUAGCCAUUCUUCCUGCUUCAGGAAUAAAACCUGAUUGAAACAACCAA
Long non-coding RNA from Lynx canadensis (Canada lynx), 570 nucleotides. RefSeq lists it as uncharacterized. Lineage: Eukaryota; Metazoa; Chordata; Mammalia; Carnivora; Felidae. The transcript is spliced from 2 exons. The record is from RefSeq and is a predicted model, not a curated record.